CUCCUUCACAACAUCCAUGAAGCUUCUGUGUGGUCUUCCUCUUCUCCUCCAUCGUCUGUGAUUACCACUAACUGUCCUCUGCAUGUGACCAAACCAUCUCCACCAUCACUGUCUUACUUCUUUUUGGUCAUGUGAUCUCCACCCUACGCUGCACGUGUCAUAUGAUGACAUGACGGGAGAUCAAAGGACUGAAUAUUCAAACACACACGUCCACAUCAUGAAUGUGAAGCCCUAUAACUGACGUCCUUGUGCGUGUGUCGACUCAAGCAGAGCUCAGUGAUGCAACACUGCAGACACCCGCUGACGUGAAACACAUGAAGACGUCAUAAAAGGACGAGACAGUCUCACUCCUGUAAAACAUCAGCACGAGUAAAGCAGCUGUGUCCAACAUGAACGCCAUGGGAGACGGACAACAUAACGGAAGAAACUGUCCGUCUUUUCACAUCUUAUUUCCUAUAGGCAGAGUGCCACCAGCUAAUCAGCUGAACAACGAGACGAUUGCUUUUUUGGAGCACUAUGUGCGAGCGAUAGGAAAUGAAGAACAGUUCAGGGGACUCAUGAUCCACUUUCACAACGUACAUCAGCAACAAGUGGAAAUGCAAUUUCGACUUCAACAAAGACUGAACGGGCACAGGCUAUGACCACACGGGGACGGAGACACCAGAGGUUCAUGAAGGAAUGUUCAACGUCUACUUUGCAUUUCAAUAUUAUCUUAGACAUUAUUUUAAUAAUAACCAGACAACAGCAUCCGCAUCAGUGACCCGUUAGCUGCUCUUGUCGAGGCACUGCUGUGUUUUUGGGAGCCAGUAGCAGGCAGAAGACGGUUUUCUUUUCUUUAGUUUGCGUUUGUUUUUAUCUGCUCGCUUCCCCGUUCGUAACAGACGCAGUUCCAAUAUCGAUGUAGUCAGUACAGUACUGUAAAAACAUACAAGUAUGUGUUGUUUUGUUCUAUUAGUGCGUCAGACCUGUUGACUUAUAGUGUGCACAGGUGUGCAGCGGAACUUCAUCCCUGUCCGAUGAACAGAUGGAGGUCAAUGUAUGGGAAGUGGGUGAUGCAGAUCUGACAUAAUAAAUCUAUUUCAAUUCUA
Long non-coding RNA from Solea senegalensis (Senegalese sole), 1088 nucleotides. RefSeq lists it as uncharacterized. The record is from RefSeq and is a predicted model, not a curated record. Lineage: Eukaryota; Metazoa; Chordata; Actinopteri; Pleuronectiformes; Soleidae. The transcript is spliced from 2 exons.